GAAAUGCGAUAAUUAGUGUGAAUUGCAGAAUUCAGUGAAUCAUCGAAACCUUGAACGCAAACUGCGCUCUUUGGUCUACCAAAGAGCAUGCCUGUUUGAGUGUCGACUUUACACUCUCUCCUCCUCCCCACCUCUCUCGAAAGAGGGAUGGAUGCAAGGGGGGACGGAGAGGAACCUGAGCGUUGCGAAGGAGGGGAAAUCCCCCCUCGCAUCGCUUGAAAUCGAGCGAGAUCGGGACGGUAUUUCUGGUGAGAGAUCAUCGCGGCGCUUUGAGACCCCUAAAUAAGGUCUUCCCUUUCGCCACGAACCUCGCCUCCGAUGUUGCCGAGCAUCCCAGAUCCACAGGAGAGGAAACAAAAAACAACUUCGACCUCAAAUCAGGUAAGACUACCCGCUGAAU
Molecule: unclassified non-coding RNA, 400 nt
Filed under: uncultured fungus
Lineage: Eukaryota; Fungi
Description: sequence contains ITS1
Rfam family: 5.8S ribosomal RNA (bases 1-105)
Source: RNAcentral